GACUCGGGUUUCACCAUUGAUCCAGUCAGAGAACCCAGAACUAGAUUAGGAGGAAAAGCAGGAUUUUGACCAGGAUGUGGACAGAAAUAACUAACAGACUGACGUCACUUUACAAGUUCAGAAUAUGAAUGAUAAAGCUGCAGUGUGUGACCCACUCUCAUAUACAUCCAUCAUGUUCUCCACCCUGGUGGCUGGAGUUCCCAUGAUCACCCUCAGCUGCACAGACCCUGAUAGAGACCACCUAAACUGCCACCAUCACCAAUGGAAACUUCAUCAUCUCUAUUAUGACUCCAACAGCAGAACUUCAACUAUCCACUGUUAUGUUCUCAAAAGUGUUGUUGUGGACUGUUUCCAAAUGAAUGGGCGGAGUCUGACAUGUAAAACCUCUUCUCGCUUUCAUCACCAUUGUGCUGUGGAGCAUCUCCUAUCACUAUAUCCUAUCAUAAUUAUUUUGUUAAGGAAAAUGAAUGGUCUGGUUUCUACAAC
Sinocyclocheilus rhinocerous is the source of this 486-nucleotide long non-coding RNA. RefSeq lists it as uncharacterized. The record is from RefSeq and is a predicted model, not a curated record. The transcript is spliced from 3 exons. Lineage: Eukaryota; Metazoa; Chordata; Actinopteri; Cypriniformes; Cyprinidae.